AUAAAGGUGAAUAUAUUUCAAUGGUAGAAAAUACGCUUGUGGUGCGUUAAAUCUGAGUUCGAUUCUCAGUAUUCACCCUA
Molecule: transfer RNA, 80 nt
Filed under: Saccharomyces cerevisiae YJM789
Lineage: Eukaryota; Fungi; Ascomycota; Saccharomycetes; Saccharomycetales; Saccharomycetaceae
Description: tRNA-His
Rfam family: tRNA (bases 7-77)
About the family: Transfer RNA (tRNA) molecules are approximately 80 nucleotides in length. Their secondary structure includes four short double-helical elements and three loops (D, anti-codon, and T loops). Further hydrogen bonds mediate the characteristic L-shaped molecular structure. tRNAs have two regions of fundamental functional importance: the anti-codon, which is responsible for specific mRNA codon recognition, and the 3' end, to which the tRNAs corresponding amino acid is attached (by aminoacyl-tRNA synthetases). tRNAs cope with the degeneracy of the genetic code in two manners: having more than one tRNA (with a specific anti-codon) for a particular amino acid; and 'wobble' base-pairing, i.e. permitting non-standard base-pairing at the 3rd anti-codon position.
Source: RNAcentral